RNAcentral lists this ribosomal RNA (500 nucleotides) under uncultured bacterium. Its description in RNAcentral is "partial 16S ribosomal RNA". It matches the Rfam family "Bacterial small subunit ribosomal RNA", at positions 30 to 523 of the family's 1533-position model. The record is from RNAcentral.
AUUGAACGCUGGCGGAAUGCUUUACACAUGCAAGUCGAACGGCAGCACGGACUUCGGUCUGGUGGCGAGUGGCGAACGGGUGAGUAAUGUAUCGGAACGUGCCCAGUCGUGGGGGAUAACGUAGUGAAAAUUACGCUAAUACCGCAUACGAUCUAUGGAUGAAAGCGGGGGAUCGCAAGACCUCGCGCGAUUGGAGCGGCCGAUAUCAGAUUAGGUAGUUGGUGGGGUAAAGGCCCACCAAGCCAACGAUCUGUAGCUGGUCUGAGAGGACGACCAGCCACAGUGGAACGGAGACACGGUCCAGACUCCUACGGGAGGCAGCAGUGGGGAAUUUUGGACAAUGGGCGAAAGCCUGAUCCAGUCAUUCCGCGUGCAGGAUGAAGGCCCUCGGGUUGUAAACUGCUUUUGUACAGAACGAAAAGGUUUCUACUAAUACUAGGAGCUCAUGACGGUACUGUAAGAAUAAGCACCGGCUAACUACGUGCCAGCCGCCGCGGUAA